CACCAUCACCUCCACAACAACAAUGUUAACGAGAGACUGAAAACAAAACCAAAUUCCCCACAUACCAAUCCAAACCUCUCUCGAUCGAAAUCUCAAAUCGCCGAUAAGGUUAUUCGCUUCGCUUCGAUUCUGCUUUUAAUGUAAAUUGUUUUCAGAAAACAAUUUCUGUUCUCUGAAAGUAAGUUUGGACUGCGUGUCGGUUUCUCAUUGUUGAAAUUACUUGAAUUUUUAUUUUUUGAAUUUGGUUUGUCAGGUAAUUUUCUGCUGCCAUUUCUUGUUGUAAAGAUUGCUGUUUUUUGUGGCGCAGGUGGACAUAGCAUGAUGAUCUUUAGGUUUAGGUUUAGGUUUAUGUAUUUAAUGUUGCUUUUUACAUAGUUCAUCUGAUCACUAUAUUUGGUACAUGUAAUGUCUAUAUAAAUAGAGAGAGAGGAUUUAUAUUUACAAAAAUGUUGAUAUAUAACAUAGGUGAUAUCAAUUGUGGCAGUUUCCAUUAACAUAGUCAUUACAAGAAUUCAAUGGAAUGUAUGCAUCAUGUCUCAUCAUAUACUUGUUAUCAGUAACUCUUAAAUUACUGCAAGGUAGUUCUAUCUCUCUCUAUACAAAUUUUUGAAUGGUUUCCAAUUCUCUUAGUCUUUGUUUGGAUCAUUAUGGAUUUGAGUAGGGAUUUGGAAAGAGAAAUGAAACACAACAUUAAUCUCAUCAUUCUUCUGCAUUGCUAGAAAGUCAAUUAGUCCCUGUCCUCCUCCAGUGAAACUAUUGGAGAAUUGUGUCUCCUGGUGAUGUUGUAGAGGUGUUUCAGAAUUUUUCUUGGAAGAUGGCAACUGUUUCUAAGGUUUUGUGUAGGAAUUGCCUUUUGGUUAGGUUACUUGGAUCCUCCCAUGAAUUCAAAGUCAGUAAAGAUGACCUCCGGGUGCGACAAUCUUGGCAGGGUGGCAAAUGGUUCGUGAUUGGCAAGGGAUGAAGUAGGAAGUUUGCACACCUUGCUUUGGGGUUUGCCACUUUCUCUUGCUGCAGACAAGUGUUCAUUCUCAGCAUCGAACCAACAACAAAUAGUAGAGCUUAUGAUGAGCUACUGGAUGCAGAACCAGAGUUAUGCAGCUGCCAAGGGAUGUCCUGAUAUGUGACUACUUGAAAGGGAUUGCAUGUCAAGCCAGCAGCUAGUAGAUUUUCUACAUGAGCAGUUGAACACACGAGCUCUGUGGUAUGUGAAAGAGUACUUGAUAGGUGUUUGGCACCAUCUAUUUCUGGCGGUGAGGGAUGUGACAACAUGACCAUGAUCUUGGUGCAGUUCAAGAAACCCCAUGAGUGCUGCUGCCGCUGCUGAUGCAGAUGAGAAAUCCUCGACUUCUGAUCAUGGAAAUCAGUCUGCUACUGCAGCUGCAGACGAGAAAUCCUCAACUUCUAACAUAGCCGAUACUGAAUUGAAACCAGCGGAAACUGAGUCAACCCCAUGACAAGUUUAUCAAUGUGUCGUCAGAUUGCGUUGGUGCAAGCUGUAGUUCCAAGGAUAUUCAAGAAUCCUUGGUUGUCUCUGUAACUGAAGACAGUUUGGCUGGUAAAGAUGGGCCGGUUACAAAUUUACGAUUGAGAUUCGCUGUGUGGUGUGUUUUUUUCCUUUUUCUAUACGAUAUUAUAAUUGCAAGUAACUUGCACAAAAUAGAUCUGGAUCAAAGUUGUUCAACUGUCAUCUAGUUUAGCAGUCUAUAUUAGCUUGAUAAUGGUUUUUAUAUACCCUGCUUGUUUUUUCUUCAAAAUCAUUGGUUCUUUUCUGCUAAA
Molecule: non-coding RNA, 1776 nt
Organism: Camellia sinensis
Lineage: Eukaryota; Viridiplantae; Streptophyta; Magnoliopsida; Ericales; Theaceae
Source: RefSeq, a predicted model, not a curated record